RNAcentral lists this ribosomal RNA (468 nucleotides) under uncultured bacterium. RNAcentral's name for it is "partial 16S ribosomal RNA". It matches the Rfam family "Bacterial small subunit ribosomal RNA", at positions 28 to 507 of the family's 1533-position model. The record is from RNAcentral.
GACGAACGCUGGCGGCGUGCUUAACACAUGCAAGUCGAACGGAAAGGCCCUGCUUUUGUGGGGUGCUCGAUUGGCGAACGGGUGAGUAACACGUGAGUAACCUGCCCUUGUCUUUGGGAUAACUUCAGGAAACUGGGGCUAAUACCGGAUAGGAGCUCCUGCAGCAUGGUGGGGGUUGGAAAGUUUCGGCGGUUGGGGAUGGACUCGCGGCUUAUCAGCUUGUUGGUGGGGUAGUGGCUUACCAAGGCUUUGACGGGUAGCCGGCCUGGGAGGGUGACCGGCCACAUUGGGACUGAGAUACGGACCAGUCUCCUACGGGAGGCAGCAGUGGGGAAUAUUGCACAAUGGGCGGAAGCCUGAUGCGGCAACGCCGCGUGCGGGAUGACGGCCUUCGGGUUGUAAACCGCUUUCGCCUGUGACGAAGCGUGAGUGACGGUAAUGGGUAAAGAAGCACCGGCUAACUACGUG